This 253-nucleotide ribosomal RNA is filed under the name uncultured bacterium. RNAcentral's name for it is "partial 16S ribosomal RNA". It matches the Rfam family "Bacterial small subunit ribosomal RNA", at positions 524 to 776 of the family's 1533-position model. The record is from RNAcentral.
GACGGAGGAGGCAAGCGUUAUCCGGAAUUAUUGGGCGUAAAGGGUACGUAGGCGGCUGGUCAAGUCUGGGGUCAAAGGCCACAGCUCAACUGUGGGAAGGCCCUGGAAACUGACCGGCUAGAGUGAGGUAGGGGUUGCGGGAAUUCCAGGUGUAGCGGUGAAAUGCGUAGAGAUCGGGAAGAACACCUGAGGCGGAAGCGCGCAACUGGGCCUCAACUGACGCUGAGGUAAGAAAGCUAGGGGAGUGAAUGGG